This 464-nucleotide ribosomal RNA is filed under the name uncultured bacterium. RNAcentral's name for it is "partial 16S ribosomal RNA". It matches the Rfam family "Bacterial small subunit ribosomal RNA", at positions 339 to 795 of the family's 1533-position model. The record is from RNAcentral.
CUACGGGGGGCUGCAGUGGGGAAUUUUGGACAAUGGGCGAAAGCCUGAUCCAGCCAUGCCGCGUGCGGGAAGAAGGCCUUCGGGUUGUAAACCGCUUUUGUCAGGGAAGAAAUGUUCCGGGCUAAUACCUCGGAGAAAUGACGGUACCUGAAGAAUAAGCACCGGCUAACUACGUGCCAGCAGCCGCGGUAAUACGUAGGGUGCAAGCGUUAAUCGGAAUUACUGGGCGUAAAGCGUGCGCAGGCGGUUGUGCAAGACAGGUGUGAAAUCCCCGGGCUUAACCUGGGAACUGCACUUGUGACUGCACGGCUUGAGUGCGGCAGAGGGGGAUGGAAUUCCGCGUGUAGCAGUGAAAUGCGUAGAUAUGCGGAGGAACACCGAUGGCGAAGGCAAUCCCCUGGGCCUGCACUGACGCUCAUGCACGAAAGCGUGGGGAGCAAACAGGAUUAGAUACCCUGGUAGUC